RNAcentral lists this ribosomal RNA (216 nucleotides) under Glomeromycotina sp. RNAcentral describes it as "partial small subunit ribosomal RNA". The stretch from base 40 to 216 matches the Rfam family "Eukaryotic small subunit ribosomal RNA", at positions 686 to 864 of the family's 1831-position model. The record is from RNAcentral. Lineage: Eukaryota; Fungi; Glomeromycota.
GGGUCAGGAGGUUGGUCGUGCCACCGGUACGUACUGGUCUCACUGAUUCCUCCUUCCUGAAGAACCGUAAUGCCAUUAAUUUGGUGUUGCGGGGAAACAGGACUGUUACUUUGAAAAAAUUAGAGUGUUUAAAGCAAGCUAACGCUUGAAUACAUUAGCGUGGAAUAAUGAAAUAGGACGAUCGAUCCUAUUUUGUUGGUUUCUAGGAUUGACGUA